This 1340-nucleotide ribosomal RNA is filed under the name uncultured bacterium. Its description in RNAcentral is "bacterial SSU rRNA". It matches the Rfam family "Bacterial small subunit ribosomal RNA", at positions 28 to 1387 of the family's 1533-position model. The record is from RNAcentral.
GACGACCUUUGGCGGCGCGCCUAACACAUGCAAGUCGAACGAGCGAGAGAGAGCUUGCUUUCUCGAGCGAGUGGCGAACGGGUGAGUAACGCGUGAGGAACCUGCCUCAAAGAGGGGGACAACAGUUGGAAACGACUGCUAAUACCGCAUAAGCCCACGACCCGGCAUCGGGUAGAGGGAAAAGGAGCAAUCCGCUUUGAGAUGGCCUCGCGUCCGAUUAGCUAGUUGGUGAGGUAAUGGCCCACCAAGGCGACGAUCGGUAGCCGGACUGAGAGGUUGAACGGCCACAUUAGGACUGAGACACGGCCCAGACUCCUACGGGAGGCAGCAGUGGGGAAUAUGGCACAAUGGGGGGAAACCCUGAUGCAGCGACGCCGCGUGGAGGAAGAAGGUCUUCCGGAUUGUAAACUCCUGUUGUUGAGGAAGAUAAUGACGGUACUCAACAAGGAAGUGACGGCUAACUACGUGCCAGCAGCCGCGGUAAAACGUAGGUCACAAGCGUUGUCCGGAAUUACUGGGUGUAAAGGGAGCGCAGGCGGGAAGACAAGUUGGAAGUGAAAUCCAUGGGCUCAACCCAUGAACUGCUUUCAAAACUGUUUUUCUUGAGUAGUGCAGAGGUAGGCGGAAUUCCCGGUGUAGCGGUGGAAUGCGUAGAUAUCGGGAGGAACACCAGUGGCGAAGGCGGCCUACUGGGCACCAACUGACGCUGAGGCUCGAAAGUGUGGGUAGCAAACAGGAUUAGAUACCCUGGUAGUCCACACUGUAAACGAUGAUUACUAGGUGUUGGAGGAUUGACCCCUUCAGUGCCGCAGUUAACACAAUAAGUAAUCCACCUGGGGAGUACGACCGCAAGGUUGAAACUCAAAGGAAUUGACGGGGGCCCGCACAAGCAGUGGAGUAUGUGGUUUUAUUCGACGCAACGCGAAGAACCUUACCAAGUCUUGACAUCCUGCGACGCACAUAGAAAUAUGUGUUUCCUUCGGGACGCAGAGACAGGUGGUGCAUGGUUGUCGUCAGCUCGUGUCGUGAGAUGUUGGGUUAAGUUCCGCAACGAGCGCAACCCUUAUGGUCAGUUACUACGCAAGAGGACUCUGGCCAGACUGCCGUUGACAAAACGGAGGAAGGUGGGGAUGACGUCAAAUCAUCAUGCCCUUUAUGACUUGGGCUACACACGUACUACAAUGGCGUUAAACAAAGAGAAGCAAGACCGCGAGGUGGAGCAAAACUCAGAAACAACGUCCCAGUUCGGACUGCAGGCUGCAACUCGCCUGCACGAAGUCGGAAUUGCUAGUAAUCGCAGAUCAGCAUGCUGCGGUGAAUACGUUCCCGGGCCUUGCACA